This 369-nucleotide ribosomal RNA is filed under the name uncultured fungus. RNAcentral describes it as "eukaryotic LSU rRNA". It matches the Rfam family "Eukaryotic large subunit ribosomal RNA", at positions 40 to 398 of the family's 3401-position model. The record is from RNAcentral. Lineage: Eukaryota; Fungi.
AUAUCAAUAAGCGGAGGAAAAGAAACCAACAGGGAUUGACCUCAGUAACGGCGAGUGAAGCGGUCAAUCAGCUCAAAUUUGAAAUCUGGCCUCUUUCAGGGUCCGAGUUGUAAUUUGUAGAGGAUGUUUUCGGCUACGCGCUACGGUUUAAAUUUCUUGGAACAGAAUGUCAUAGAGGGUGAGAGAUCCCGUCUUGACGCGAUUAGCUUCGUCCAUGUGAAACUCCUUCGACGAGUCGAGUUGUUUGGGAAUGCAGCUCAAAAUGGGUGGUAAAUUUCAUCUAAAGCUAAAUAUUGGCCAGAGACCGAUAGCGCACAAGUAGAGUGAUCGAAAGAUGAAAAGCACUUUGAAAAGAGAGUUAAACAGUAU